CAAGAUCCUGGGAAAUGCAUUGCAAUAGAGAGAACUGUUGACACCUUGCUGUAGAAGUCCAUAGGGAAAUCAGCGAUAAUGUAUUCACAGUCAAUCUUUUGAUUCCAUUAUUUGCCAGCUGACCAGCAGAGCCUCAUGAAGCCAAGUUGGAUGUCUGGAGAUCGUGCAGUUGGGUGUACGCCUAGAACACCCGACAGACAGAUCUUGUGAGCAAAUAGCUUUAUUUCCCUGAGCCAUUGUAGAAGCACAGCAAGUACAUAGUCCGUGACUGACGGCCUGGGUCAAAACUCUGCUUAGAAGCUCUACAUACCUGAGAAGGUUGUAUAGACCCCUCUGUGACUUGUUUCUCUGUUCUGAGAUACUGAAAUGUUAAUAGGGCCUAAUUUUUAGUAUUAAGUUGUGAGCUCAAAAUGACUAAACACAAGUAAGAUCUUCAGAAAAAGAAGUGGUGUUUCAUAACUUCCCUAGUGUUCAAUCACUGAGUAAGGUAGACACUUGGUAGUGGUUGAAUCCAGAGAGGGGAUGUGGAUGGCUCCACAGCAGGGGGGGAUAUAAGCUUCCUGUUAGCCUUUAUAUGGAGAGAUGCUUUACAGCUCAAAGAGAGUAUCUGUGAUCUCCUGUGGUUUCUGUGUCAGCCCUGUUGAGGUGGGAGGCGGCAGAGCAGGGCCUGUCAUCUGUAUUUUACAGCGGGGGCAUUCAAAUUUAGAGAGAAAAAGUGAUUCGCCAAAAGUCACUACACUGUUGAGUUGGGUGUUCAAGACAGAAAUUUAGCUGGUUCCCUGGAGAGAGAGAUCUCUGAACACCUGAAAUCAUGCCCUGUACCCCUAACCAGGGGCCCCUCAGUCUCUUCCUCAAAUCCUCCUGCCCCAUUUUCUGUGAAGGAGACAGUUGAUGCCUUGCAGGAGGUGCCUGAGCCAAGAGAAAAACCCAGAUCCUAACUCAGUCUCCCAUCUCUAGGUUUCAAUCCUCGACCCAAAACACGAUACAGUUGCCCCCAAGUGAAGCCCCUCUGAAGGAUGAGGGGAAGCCCAACGUGGGCCAUCCUUCUCUGGCAUCUUCACACCAUCAGCCAUCUCACGUGGUGCCUUCCAGGUGACCAGCUGAACACCCUCAGUGACCACGGGUGUUUGGCUCCCAAGCUGACUCAGAAGCCAGGACAUUCCAAACCAAUGGUCACACGAUGGCUCUGCUAAGAAUUGGCUUCCCUUCAACUGACCAGCUCUGGCUGGGCAGGUAUUGUGAAGUGAUUGGGAAACUGGCCACCUGGGCUGGUGCUUUGGUGGCUUCAUAAAUUGUCUGUGGCCUUCCAUGUCUCACUGGCUAUUGACUGAAGUGUCUAAGCUGCAUGGACUAAGCCUAGACUUGGCUGAGAAUGAACACAGGGCUGUUCUGGCUCUGAGUAUCCACUUUCCCUGCUCCUUCCUUCAUCCCUCAGACCCAGUUUCUACGGACUCAUCAUCCUUUUGAUGAGUCUAGACCCUUUUGUGGCAGGGGACAGAGCCUUGUCUCCUCUGGGAGGGCCCUCCCCAUAACCACAUCCUAGAUACCCCCUAAAUACCCCCAAAUAGCACACAGUGCUCGAGUCAAAGGUCCCCAAAAGCAAAUGAAUAGGAUGCCUAUCAGGAGUUGUUUCUUCCUGGGGAUGUGUCUCUCAAGACUAAUACUUAGGGUGCCGACUACAAAAUUCCUCACCCAAGCAAGAAAAAUUGCUACUCAGGAAAAGAUCCUAUGACACUGUUUAUUAGCAGGAUUGGCACUGCCAGCAGUUAAUGUCCCCUUUAUCAAGUGACAGUUGGCAAGAGGCAACCACUCACCACUGUCCCCAUCAGGGAAAGUAACAGGAUCAUCGAAAAUGUAGACUGUCAUAUGUACAACAGAAGUUGAUUGGAAAGACCCUAAGAAAGCACUUGUGUUCCUCAAGGAAAGACAAGAAGCUCACCUCAGCAACAGCCUGGCGACUCAUGACAGGAUGGGACCGCUGCUUUUCCUACUUAGGGACACCUAGAAGGACACAGAAUACGUGUCAGUACCUUGUUGGUGCUGCUCAAGAAUAACUCAGGGACUGUCCCUUGCUAUGAAUAUGGGCCAGAGCAUAUGGAGGCUUUGGUUACCUGCAUGGACUGAAUGUUACUGCUGAGCGUGGCUCAGCAGUAUUCCUUGAAAUGUGCAGUAGUAUGAGGAAAUUUUUGAGAAUAUAGACAUUGGUUAUUGUGCAGUGUCACUGGCGCAUAUCUCCUGGGGAAGGACACAUCUCUCGCUGUCUCUCCUCUCUCCCUGUCUCUCUAAUGAAUGUGUGUGUCCCUUUCUCUUAGUGUGUUUCCUUGUCUCCUUCCCUGUCCCUCAGUUUCUGUCUCUCUCAAACACACACGUGGGCAUACACAAACACACACACACACACACAAAACCACAGUGAAUACAUUGUCUUCCUCACACUGUAAACAUGGACAUAGGUUUUCCCCUGGGAUGGGAAAUCUGUCUUUUCUCCAUACCCUCAAGCCUCUUUCUUACAAGGAACCUGGAGUCAGGACAGCUCUCUAGACUGAUGCCAGCAGGAAUGCCCCAUCUUCCUGAAUAUAUGCAGUCUUUCAUCAGGAGAGACAGAGUCCAAAACGCAUACCAUUUUCCAUUGCUCUCGCGACGACCUGAAUGCACAGGAAAGAAACCCCAUCAGGGUCAGAUCAUGAUGAACACACAUUGCACUGGUCUUUGGUUCUCCUCUUGACUUUGGGAAACCAGAUGGCACACAGUGCUUGCGUCAAAGGUCUCCAAAAGCUAAUGAAAUAGGUGCCUGUCAGAAGUUCUUUUUCCUGGGAUGUGUCUCUCAAGACCACUGAGGAUGCCGACAACAAAAUUCUUCACCCAAGCAGGACAGAUUGCUGCUGACGAAAAAGUCCUAGGACACUGUUUAUUACUAGGCUUGGCACAGCCAAGUGGUUAAUGUCCCCCUGACCAAGGUGACCGUUGGCAAGAGGCAACCACUCACCACUGUCCCCAUCAGGGAAAGUAACAGGAUCAUCGAAAAUGUAGACUGUCAUAUGUACAACAGAAGUUGAUUGGAAAGACCCUAAGAAAGCACUUGUGUUCCUCAAGGAAAGACAAGAAGCUCACCUCAGCAACAGCCUGGCGACUCAUGACAGGAUGGGACCGCUGCUUUUCCUACUUAGGGACACCUAGAAGGACACAGAAUACGUGUCAGUACCUUGUUGGUGCUGCUCAAGAAUAACUCAGGGACUGUUCCUUGCUAUGAACAUGGGCCAGAGCAUAUGGAGGCUCUCUCUGCCCCUGUCCCCGCUUGCACUCUGCCUCUCAAGAUAAAAUAAAGACAUAAAAAAAAUAAAUAGAUAAACGUCUUAUUUAUUUAUUGUGUGUGAGAGAUGGGGGGGGGGGGGGAGAAGGGUAGAAGGAGAGGGAGAGAGUGAAUCCCCGGCAGGCUCCAUGCUGCCAGCACAGAGCCCAACGCAAGGCGUGAGCUCACAAACCAUGAGAUCAUGACCUGAGCUGGAAUCAAGUCGGACGCUUACCUGACUGAGCCACCCCGGCGCCCCAACACCAUCCUCUCCUUAACAGGAGUCAUUUGUCUGGCAUCAUUUUGGCCAGUCUCAAGGGAGAACAAGAGGGCAGCCGAGUGCUAUGCCCCAUCCACAGACGUUAUCUUGAAUCUUUUCCUCCAAACACCCACACCAUACUCGCUGCCCGGCAGCCUGACCCUCUGUGUUCCCCAUGAGCCUGCAGAACUUCUCACCGGCUCCCUCUGCUUUAUCCCAAGUGGGGUGUGGCAGAGGGGGGGUCUCUCCAAGCCUCACAAAUAGAGGACGCAAAUUCACCUCAACGACAUGUAGAGAUGGACAGCCAACAUUUACUGAGCACCCAGUGUAUACCAAGCCUGUCUCAGUUUUACCCAGACUGUCUCAAGUUAGCCACUCAUGCCUGCAGCCCCAUGACGGAGCACUGCUGCCCUGGGUCAUGAACGUUUUCCAUGUUUUCCUGUACCUGAAGUGUGGAUGUAUCUUACAGCAGGUGGCAUCUCACCAUCGUGACACAGUGGUCAUUGCCUGACCUCCCGCAAACUCGGUCCUAGCUGUUCCUAUGUUGCUACUUCACAUGCGGAGAACAGGUGCGAUUUUAAACGUCUUCAGAAAGAUUAGACUGUGAGUCAUCUUCGACUUAAAAGGUUUUGUGUAUGCAGAAACACGGGCAGCAGAGAAGUAAAGCACUGAUUUGAUAUUGGCCAAGGAGACACAUUCUUCACCACUACAGCCAUGCCCACAAUUCCAGAUGGCCUUGCACAGCAACAACCAAGGACAUGCACUUGUGAGAAACGCUGGGCCUCCUACACUCCUGAUCAGAGGUCAGCAAGCUUUUUGUAUAAAGGGUCAGACGGGGAGUAAUUUUGGUUCUGUGAGACAUACAGACUCAGGUAUGACCACUCAACUCUGCCGUUACAGCGUGAUAACAGCCAUACACGAUAGGUAAUGGGCAUGGCUCUGUUACAAUAAAACUUUAUUUGCAAACACAGGUGGAGCGCUGCAUUGGGCCCAUGGGUUAUAGUGUAUUGACCCCUUCUUUGGAUGGAACAGUAAACAGUAUUUGGGGGUGCUUGGGUGGCUCAGUUCAGUAAAGUGUCUGACUCUUGAUUUCGGCUCAGGUCACGAUCCCAGGAUCAUGGGAUCAAGCCGCACAUCGGGCUCUGUGCUGGGCACGGAGCCUCCUUGGGAUUCUCUCUCUCUCUCUCUCUCUCUCUCUCUCUCUCUCUCUCUCUCUGUGCAAGUGCACAUGCUCGCUCUCUCUCUCACAAAGAAAAAAAAGAAAACAGUAUUUACUAGAAAAAUACAAGCAGUGAUGACUCUAAGUCAAAAGUGAUAUAGAAAUUAAACCCUGAAAUGUGAAGAAAUUCUAGGACUGUCUUAACUAAUGAAUGUCAGUUAUAAGUUCCCUUAUGCAUAGUUAAAAAAGCAACGUAUGAUUUAAAAAAACCCUUUUACUUUUUUUUUUUAAGUUUAUUUACUUCGAGAGAGAGAGAGUGAGCUGGGAGGGGGCAGAGAGAGAGAGGGAGAGACAGAAUCCCAAGCAGGCUCCACACUGCCAGCCUAGAGCCUGAUGCAGGGCUCGAUCCCACAGACCACAAGAUCAUGACCUGAGCCAAAAUCCAGAGUCGGACACUCAACCAACUGAGUCACCCAGGCACCCCUAAAAAAAAACACCUCCUUUUAUCCAAAUCAAAGAGCUCAAAGAGCUCUUUCAAAAAGUGUCAAAUAAAAUUUCCAAGUAAUGAGAAAACAUUUUCUAGAACUUAGUAUCGUUUUUUUACUUCCUGAUGGUUAUGUUUAAAAAUGGAGCAUCUUAAAUCCAUAGCUUCUUAGAUCUGAGGAGGUAGGAUCUUGUACCCAUUGUGAUGUGGACAUUAAGGCUCACAGGGAGAAGUGACUCGCUCAGGGUCACCCCGUGAUCACAACUGCGACCACAGAGCUAGAGCGACUGGCAGCUUCCUCUGCCUCCUCCCAGCUGAGCCCAAACACCACACUGAUCCACACAGUCUCAGGAAGGGAAAGGCAGAGGGGUAUCUACUCCAUGAGGGUAGGGGUUUUGUGUGCCUGGCUCACCACCCAUCUCUGGGGCUUGCACCAGCCAGGCCUAGAGGUGAUUGAUAAAUGAUUCAACUCCCACAUCAGGCAGCCUGAAUUCAAAGCAGGACUCUGCCACUUACUCCCCCCUGUGCACAUCUCCGCGUUAUCAUCUUGGAUGACACUCCUUGCAUCAAAUAGUUGCUGGCAGCUUUAAAUGAGUUAAUAUAGUUAAAAGCACUUAUCAUGGUGCUUGACACAAAGAAAGCACUCCAUAAAUAUCAACUGUGAAGGGGGCGCCCGGGUGGUUCAGUUGGUUGAGCAUCUGACUUCAGCUCAGGUUGAGAUCUCACAACUCGUGAGUUUGACUCCGCGUUGGGCUCUCUGCUGUCAGGGUGAAGCUCACUUUGGAUCCUUUGUCCCCCUCUUUUUUUUUUUUUAAUUUUUUUUUUCAACGUUUAUUUAUUUUUGGGACAGAGAGAGACAGAGCAUGAACGGGGGAGGGACAGAGAGAGAGGGAGACACAGAAUCGGAAACAGGCUCCAGGCUCUGAGCCAUCAGCCCAGAGCCUGACGCGGGGCUCGAACUCACGGACCGUGAGAUCGUGACCUGGCUGAAGUCGGACGCUUAACCGACUGCGCCACCCAGGCGCCCCUCUUUGUCCCCCUCUUUAUGCCCCUCCCCCAUGCAUGUUCUCUCUCAAAAAUAAACAUUUAAAAAAUAUAUCAGCCAUGAAGAUACUUAUCCUGAUAUCCCAAGCAUCCAGCACAAGGAAAGUUCAGUAUAAAUACUUGCUGAUGAGUGAGUGAUAACAAAAGAGAAUGGAUGGAUGGACAGCUAGGUGGACAGGUGGGUGGAGAGAUGGACUGGAAAAUAAAUGGAUAACUAAAUAGAUGGAUGGACAAAUGGAUGGAUGCAGGUAAAGAUGGAUGGAUGGGUAGAUGGAUGGAUGGAAGUAAACAUGGGUAGGAAGAUGGAU
Neofelis nebulosa (Clouded leopard) is the source of this 6540-nucleotide long non-coding RNA. RefSeq lists it as uncharacterized. The record is from RefSeq and is a predicted model, not a curated record. Lineage: Eukaryota; Metazoa; Chordata; Mammalia; Carnivora; Felidae. The transcript is spliced from 3 exons.